UACAGAGGGGGCAAGCGUUGUUCGGAAUUACUGGGCGUAAAGGGCGCGUAGGCGGCCUUCUAAGUCGAACGUGAAAUCCCCGGGCUCAACCCGGGAACUGCGUCCGAUACUGGAAGGCUUGAAUCCGGGAGAGGGAUGCGGAAUUCCAGGUGUAGCGGUGAAAUGCGUAGAUAUCUGGAGGAAUACCGGUGGCGAAGGCGGCAUCCUGGACCGACAUUGACGCUGAUGAGCGAAAGCUAGGGGAGCAAACGGG
Molecule: ribosomal RNA, 253 nt
Filed under: uncultured bacterium
Lineage: Bacteria
Description: partial 16S ribosomal RNA
Rfam family: Bacterial small subunit ribosomal RNA
Source: RNAcentral